Molecule: ribosomal RNA, 468 nt
Filed under: uncultured bacterium
Lineage: Bacteria
Description: partial 16S ribosomal RNA
Rfam family: Bacterial small subunit ribosomal RNA
Source: RNAcentral
GACGAACGCUGGCGGCGUGCUUAACACAUGCAAGUCGAACGGAAAGGCCCUGCUUUUGUGGGGUGCUCGAGUAGCGAACGGGUGAGUAACACGUGAGUAACCUGCCCUUGACUUUGGGAUAACUUCAGGAAACUGGGGCUAAUACCGGAUAGGAGCUCCUGCUGCAUGGUGGGGGUUGGAAAGUUUCGGCGGUUGGGGAUGGACUCGCGGCUUAUCAGCCUGUUGGUGGGGUAGUGGCUUACCAAGGCUUUGACGGGUAGCCGGCCUGAGAGGGUGACCGGCCACAUUGGGACUGAGAUACGGCCCAGACUCCUACGGGAGGCAGCAGUGGGGAAUAUUGCACAAUGGGCGGAAGCCUGAUGCAGCAACGCCGCGUGCGGGAUGACGGCCUUCGGGUUGUAAACCGCUUUCGCCUGUGACGAAGCGUGAGUGACGGUAAUGGGUAAAGAAGCACCGGCUAACUACGUG